UAGGGAAUCUUCGGCAAUGGACGGAAGUCUGACCGAGCAACGCCGCGUGAGUGAAGAAGGUUUUCGGAUCGUAAAGCUCUGUUGUAAGAGAAGAACGAGUAUGAGAGUGGAAAGUUCACACUGUGACGGUAUCUUACCAGAAAGGGACGGCUAACUACGUGCCAGCAGCCGCGGUAAUACGUAGGUCCCGAGCGUUGUCCGGAUUUAUUGGGCGUAAAGCGAGCGCAGGCGGUUAGAUAAGUCUGAAGUUAAAGGCUGUGGCUUAACCAUAGUAGGCUUUGGAAGCUGUUUAACUUGAGUGCAAGAGGGGAGAGUGGAAUUCCAUGUGUAGCGGUGAAAUGCGUAGAUAUAUGGAGGAACACCGGUGGCGAAAGCGGCUCUCUGGCUUGUAACUGACGCUGAGGCUCGAAAGCGUGGGGAGCAAACAGGAUUAGAUACCCUGGUAGUCCACGCUGUAAACGAUGAGUGCUAGGUGUUAGACCCUUUCCGGGGUUUAGUGCCGUAGCUAACGCAUUAAGCACUCCGCCUGGGGAGUACGACCGCAAGGUUG
Molecule: ribosomal RNA, 550 nt
Filed under: uncultured bacterium
Lineage: Bacteria
Description: bacterial SSU rRNA
Rfam family: Bacterial small subunit ribosomal RNA
Source: RNAcentral